This 253-nucleotide ribosomal RNA is filed under the name uncultured bacterium. Its description in RNAcentral is "partial 16S ribosomal RNA". It matches the Rfam family "Bacterial small subunit ribosomal RNA", at positions 524 to 776 of the family's 1533-position model. The record is from RNAcentral.
UACGAAGGGGGCUAGCGUUGUUCGGAAUUACUGGGCGUAAAGCGCACGUAGGCGGGGCGUUAAGUCAGGGGUGAAAUCCCAGAGCUUAACUCUGGAACUGCCUUUGAUACUGGCGACCUAGAGUCCGGAAGAGGUUAGUGGAAUUCCCAGUGUAGAGGUGAAAUUCGUAGGUAUUGGGAAGAACACCAGUGGCGAAGGCGGCUAACUGGUCCGGUACUGACGCUGAGGUGCGAAAGCGUGGGGAGCAAACAGG